RNAcentral lists this ribosomal RNA (460 nucleotides) under uncultured bacterium. RNAcentral's name for it is "partial 16S ribosomal RNA". It matches the Rfam family "Bacterial small subunit ribosomal RNA", at positions 338 to 795 of the family's 1533-position model. The record is from RNAcentral.
CCUACGGGUGACAGCAGUGAGGAAUAUUGGUCAAUGGACGAGAGUCUGAACCAGCCAAGUAGCGUGAAGGAUGACUGCCCUAUGGAUUGUAAACUUCUUUUAUAUGGGAAUAAAACGUUCCACGUGUGGGAUUUUGUAUGUACCAUAUGAAUAAGGAUCGGCUAACUCCGUGCCAGCAGCCGCGGUAAUACGGAGGAUCCGAGCGUUAACCGGAUUUAUUGGGUUUAAAGGGAGCGUAGGUGGAUUGUUAAGUCAGUUGUGAAAGUUUGCGGCUCAACCGUAAAAUUGCAGUUGAAACUGGCAGUCUUGAGUACAGUAGAGGUGGGCGGAAUUCGUGGUGUAGCGGUGAAAUGCUUAGAUAUCACGAAGAACUCCGAUUGCGAAGGCAGUUCACUGGACUGCAACUGACACUGAGGCUCGAAAGUGUGGGUAUCAAACAGGAUUAGAUACCCCUGUAGUC